This is a non-coding RNA of Peromyscus maniculatus bairdii (prairie deer mouse), 622 nucleotides long. The record is from RefSeq and is a predicted model, not a curated record. Lineage: Eukaryota; Metazoa; Chordata; Mammalia; Rodentia; Cricetidae.
GCCGAAGAUGAUGUAGCAUUCCUGAGAAGGGUGACCGCAACUCUGUCAUCAGAUCCCCAGACACCUGGGAGGCAAUGGGGUGAGCUGUGUGAUCCCUGUCACUGUCAGGGAAGCAGACUCAGUUUGUCCAAGGGUUUCUCUGUGUAGCCCUGGCGCCUGUCCUGAAACUCACUCUGUAGCCCAGGCUGGCCUCGAACUCACAGAGAUCCACCUGGCUCUGCCUCCCGAGUGCUUUCAUCUUACCCGAGAAUCUGACUGUGGGCUCCCGACAGGUUUGCUCCCUUGGAAACUGGUAAGUAGCCCGAGAGAAAGCAGCAGCGAGCGUCCGCUUUGGGGGCUCAGAGUUGAGUACAUCACUGGGUUCCUUGGCCUGGGAGAGCUGCUAACCCAUCAGCAUUCCCUGCAGGCUUGGCGGGCCAGGGGCCUUGUUGAACACCUUGUCUUGGAGAAUGAGAUGAAGGGAUGGGAGACAGCCAGGAGAGGAGCCAGGACGGCCUGUGGCCAGGAGGUUGGAAGUGGUGAGUGAGCCGCUGAUGUGGAGCGGAGCUGGCGAUGCCCCUUUGCCUUCACUGACCAUCCGGAGAAACGAAGCCUCAGCUGGAACCCACCUCAGUUCAGCACC